Molecule: ribosomal RNA, 434 nt
Filed under: uncultured bacterium
Lineage: Bacteria
Description: partial 16S ribosomal RNA
Rfam family: Bacterial small subunit ribosomal RNA
Source: RNAcentral
AGCGAACGCUGGCGGCAGGCCUAACACAUGCAAGUCGAACGAACCUUUCGGGGUUAGUGGCGGCCGGGUGAGUAACACGUGGGAACGUGCCUUUAGGUUCGGAAUAACUCAGGGAAACUUGUGCUAAUACCGAAUGUGCCCUUCGGGGGAAAGAUUAAUCGCCUUUAGAGCGGCCCGCGUCUGAUUAGCUAGUUGGUUGAGGUAAUGGCUCACCACGGCGACGAUCAGUAGCUGGUCUGAGAGGAUGAUCAGCAACAUUGGGACUGAGACACGGCCCAAACUCCUACGGGAGGCAGCAGUGGAGAAUCUUGCGCAAUGGGCGAAAGCCUGACGCAGCCAUGCCGCGUGAAUGAUGAAGGUCUUAGGAUUGUAAAAUUCUUUCAACGGGGACGAUAAUGACGGUACCCGGAGAAGAAGCCACGGCUAACUUCGUG